Pseudophryne corroboree (corroboree frog) is the source of this 482-nucleotide long non-coding RNA. RefSeq lists it as uncharacterized. The record is from RefSeq and is a predicted model, not a curated record. The transcript is spliced from 3 exons. Lineage: Eukaryota; Metazoa; Chordata; Amphibia; Anura; Myobatrachidae.
CAGGAGAGUGUAAGGUGAACAUAUUCCUCAUGUUACAUAUAUGUACAAAGAACAAUAAAAAUUCUCCGAAGUGUGGAAGUGACUGGGACUGUGAUGAUAACCAGAAGUGCUGCUACCACGACUGCCGUAAGCAAUGCCUGGAUCCUGCUGGUAAGCGGGACUCUGCCCAGUUCCAGAUGAACAAUGUGAGACCCUUUUCCUUGUGGACAGUGCACCACAGACAGCGAGUGUGACGGCACCAAGAAAUGUUUUACCCCAUAUUGGACACCGACAUGCACGGAGCCCCUGAAGCCUAAAGGAGAGAAUAAUUCCAGUGUUACCAGUAGCCAAUAGGGUCCCAGAUGUCACAUGACCCUGCGGUCCCGGGCGCUCUGUACCUGCAGAUUGGGGGCACCGGGCACAGAUUAUGGAUGAUAAAUGUACAUUGUGUCACAGUAACGGCUCAUUGUAUUGUGAGUGUUGUCCAAUCUAAAUGUAAUAAA